AUGACUCGCGAGCUUCGGGGCCACCUAGCACGAGACAGCCACUCGGCUCGAUGCCUCCAAUUCCCACCGCAUAGUUGCUCCCCUGCGACACCCGCAUUCAUCGCAUGUGGUUUCCUCUGUUGCUCCCUCGAGCUCGCCGACGUUGCUAGAGAUGGCUACGUCUCCAUUCGAUCCCACCCCGUUAUCCUUGUUAGCUGCCAUGCCAUUGAGGUCGACGGCAGGACCGCUCACCAUCGUGUAAUCCAUGGUGCUCUUGCUCCUGCCAACGAAGACCUCACCAUUGCUACAAUCAUUCCAAUGCCAGAAGGUGAGGCUGCUUUCGUCAAUGUUCAAGAAGUUCUGCAUGAUUUCCUUCAUUCCAAGCGCAUGGGUGUCACUUCUAUCUCUCGAUGCCCAUUUGGACAAGCUUUUGUGAGAUUGGUUAGCGCGGCAGAUUGGGAUUUCCUGGUUAACAGAGGCCCACAUGCUUUUGGAGACAUCCAUAUUGUUUUCCAAAGGCGCAAUGAGGGGAUGAAGUGGAGAAACUUUGAACUUACUAGGGAUGUCUGGUUACUGAUUGUGGGUUUCCCUGCUGAUUUGCGCUUGUUCCAUGAAAUCUCAAAUGACGUUCCUGGUUUUGGACAAAUGAUGGUUUGGGAUAGAUUUAAAUCAUUUGAUGCAGCAACCGUUGUCCGUGUCAAGAUUGAUGCGCUUCGUGAUGUUCCGGCCAGUAUCUUGAUCUCUGGUGCAAAGAACUUCAGUGGGCAGUCUUGGACCUGUUCGGUGAUCAUCUUUGACAUGCCCAUUGGUAAUCCUCUGCCAGAUGAAGAUCCGGUGCCUUCGAAUGGAAAUCCUCACCCCAGAUCGCAGGAGCAAUUCCAUCAGCCCAACGAAAACCUACUUGUAGGACCUGUUGGCUUUCAUCUUAUGUAA
RNAcentral lists this ribosomal RNA (912 nucleotides) under Triticum aestivum (bread wheat). RNAcentral describes it as "partial small subunit ribosomal RNA". The record is from RNAcentral. Lineage: Eukaryota; Viridiplantae; Streptophyta; Magnoliopsida; Poales; Poaceae.